Molecule: RNA transcript, 1556 nt
Organism: Zingiber officinale
Lineage: Eukaryota; Viridiplantae; Streptophyta; Magnoliopsida; Zingiberales; Zingiberaceae
Gene name: polyadenylate-binding protein-interacting protein 11-like
Exons: 11
Source: RefSeq, a predicted model, not a curated record
CAUCCGUCGAGUUAAAUACGAUUCAUAGUUCAACCGAAGCAGCCGCCGACGACUCCGAGAGAGAGAGAGAGUUUCUACGAAUUGGUCUGCUCACCACCUGUCCAUGGUCGUCUCCGAGACCGCAAACGGCGUUGAUCUGGCCGCCUAUUCGGCGUCAGCCACCGGCGAUCUCGACCGCAAGGAAGCGCCCGACUCCAAUAAGUCCGUGGAUCUCGCCUCCAGCGCUACAGUCGUCGCCGUCGGCGAUUCUCUUCCCACCUUCCUCCCUCACCCCAAUCCUAAUGGCUUCCACCUCAAGGAUCAGCAGCUGCACCGCGUCUCCAGUCCGGGGCCGGCCGCAGCGUCGCAGCGACCCCAGGGGUCGGAGCAGGAGAUGAGGGAUCUGGAGGAGCUCCUGUCGAAGCUGAAUCCGAUGGCGGCGGAGUUCGUUCCGCCUUCAAUCGCCGGAGGUGGACUGGCCGCACCCUACGGAGGUCUUGGCGUUGGUUUUGGUGGCGGAUUUUAUGGGGGUGGAUUUGGGGCGACCCUUGCUUUGGGAAAUGGUGGCUUCGAUGGAGGCAGUGGAAGGAGGAACAAAAACGGAUACGGUCAGGGGAAUCGUCGGAUGAAUAGCCGGACGAGUCUGGCACAGAGAGAUGAGGUGAUCAGAAGGACUGUAUACGUUGCAGAUGUAGAUCGUCAGGUUACUGAAGAAGAGCUUGCAAUACUUUUCAACCGCUGUGGGCAUGUUGUUGACUGUCGAAUGUGUGGGGACCCAAAAACUAUUCUUCGGUUUGCUUUCAUAGAAUUUGAGGAUGAUGAGAGUGCAAGAGCUGCUUUAAAUCUGUCAGGAGCCAUGCUUGGGUCUUACCCUCUUAGGGUGCUUCCUUCAAAGACUGCAAUUGCGCCUGUGAACCCUACAUUUUUGCCAAGCUCGGAUGAUGAACGCGAGAUGUGUUCAAGGACUGUAUACUGCACAAAUAUUGACAAGAAGGUUUCUCAAGCAGAAAUUAGACUUUUCUUUGAGUUUUUAUGUGGAGAGGUUUACCGGCUAAGGCUUCUCGGAGACCAAAAUCAUUCUACUCGGAUCGCUUUUGUUGAGUUUGUAAGGGCUGAGUGCGCAACUAAUGCUUUGAGCUGUAGUGGAGUUGUCUUAGGAUCCUUGCCAAUCAGGGUGAGCCCUUCCAAGACUCCUGUGCGCCCUCGUUCUUCUCGCCCGCCCCUGCAUUGAAUCUUUGUGGGUUGAAGAAACAUUCCAUAGCAAUACUACAAUAGAUGCGCACACAUGAAAUUUAUGAUACAUUCUGGCUCUAAAGUUUAUUUCUUUCUUACGAAGAAGAGACACUUAUUGCACAUGGGGCUUUGGAAUUUUUAUAUGAUGCAACCUUGUCGAAAUUUCUCACGUGCAAUUCUUGAUUCUGAGUACUGAUCUGUCGAAAGAAGUUCAAGUCGACUGCAGCAGAAGAAGUCAUUGUGGAUGUCAAGCCCGAACGGAAAAUUUAAAAAUAGAGCAUUGUAUUAAGCCUUUAAUAGCCAAUUCUGAAAAAUAUGAUUUAGAGGCAUUUGAACUUUCAAUA